This 513-nucleotide ribosomal RNA is filed under the name uncultured bacterium. RNAcentral's name for it is "bacterial SSU rRNA". It matches the Rfam family "Bacterial small subunit ribosomal RNA", at positions 984 to 1508 of the family's 1533-position model. The record is from RNAcentral.
AAUUGCAGAUGAAUCACGGUGAAAGCCGUAAGCCGCAAGGCAUCUGUGAAGGUGCUGCAUGGUUGUCGUCAGCUCGUGCCGUGAGGUGUCGGCUUAAGUGCCAUAACGAGCGCAACCCUUGUUGUCAGUUACUAACAGGUCAUGCUGAGGACUCUGACAAGACUGCCAUCGUAAGAUGUGAGGAAGGUAGGGAUGACGUCAAAUCAGCACGGCCCUUACGUCCGGGGCUACACACGUGUUACAAUGGGGGGUACAGAGGGCCGCUACCACGCGAGUGGAUGCCAAUCCCAAAAACCUCUCUCAGUUCGGACUGGAGUCUGCAACCCGACUCCACGAAGCUGGAUUCGCUAGUAAUCGCGCAUCAGCCACGGCGCGGUGAAUACGUUCCCGGGCCUUGUACACACCGCCCGUCAAGCCAUGGGAGCCGGGGGUACCUGAAGUGCGUAACCGCGAGGAGCGCCCUAGGGUAAAACUGGUGACUGGGGCUAAGUCGUAACAAGGUAGCCGUACCGG